AAACUUUCAACAACGGAUCUGUUGGUUUAGGGAUCGAUGACGAACGCAGUGAAAUGUGAUCAGUAAUUUGUAUCGCAACUUCGAUCGGUCAUGCAGUCCCUAAACUCAAGAAAGAUCCCCCAAUAUGUCAAUCCUUAUGUCUGUCCGAGCGUCAUU
Molecule: ribosomal RNA, 156 nt
Filed under: Penicillium chrysogenum
Lineage: Eukaryota; Fungi; Ascomycota; Eurotiomycetes; Eurotiales; Aspergillaceae
Description: 5.8S ribosomal RNA
Rfam family: 5.8S ribosomal RNA
About the family: 5.8S ribosomal RNA (5.8S rRNA) is a component of the large subunit of the eukaryotic ribosome.
Source: RNAcentral